UUACAGGCCUCAGUAGAAGUUAAGGUUAAUGACUGUUACAGGUCUCAGUAGAAGUUAAGGUUAAUGACUGUUACAGGUCUCAGUAGAAGUUAAGGUUAAGGAUUUAACUACGCAGUACUAGUAGUUUCUGUUACAUAAGAUUUUUUUAAUGUUUUAAGAUUAGAAUGUUUUGGCUAUUCUGUAAAAAUGAUCAACAGCUCGGCCUUGGUGAUUUUCCUCUCCUGAUUCUCUCCUGAGUUUUUUAUGACCGUUAGUACUCUUUUUGAGGUAGCGAUACGCAGGUCUAGUUACAAAAUCUUAUAUAUAUGUAGACCUUUGUUUAUACUCUGGGGCAGACCGAGAGACUGAAGCUAGACUUCAUAUCGAGACUGACUGGUAUGUUUAUUUUUAUUUUUUAUGCAUAUAAGCUUUUAACAGGCAUUCUAUGUUAUACUCUGUUUUAAUUUUGGAUUUCUGUAAUUUUUAUUAUUUUUAAAUAAAUAAUUACUAUUUUGAA
Long non-coding RNA from Spea bombifrons (plains spadefoot toad), 496 nucleotides. RefSeq lists it as uncharacterized. The record is from RefSeq and is a predicted model, not a curated record. The transcript has 2 exons. NCBI's taxonomy places the organism in Eukaryota, Metazoa, Chordata, Amphibia, Anura, Pelobatidae.